GAAAGAGACAGAGGUUAGAUUCAGAAAGAGCGGCUACAUGAUUAAAAAAUAAAGCAAAUGACAAGUUUCGGACAGUACUCCAACAUUUGUAUGGAUAUAGACAUUUAUGUUACAUAAUUAGAAUGAAUUACGUAAUUAGUCUUUUCUAGCAGGGCAUUCGAAAGAGGAUUGGAUCUGGAGGGUCCAGGUCUUUCCCCCUCCAGGAGCCACCUCGUGCUGGCCUGGGAGCACCCAAAUUUUGCCUCAGUUUUGGAGACUGCGACUCAAAACAGGACCGAAGUGGGUGGGGCUUAGAGCUAACAAGCUCUCUUUCUACUGGUCAGGUUUACGUAGAGAUUUUUUUUAACGUGGCAAAUAGGCUUCACGGACGGUGGCUUUCAGCUUCCCUGGUGGUCUAGUGGUUAGGAUUCGGCGCUCUCACCGCCGCGGCCCGGGUUCGAUUCCCGGUCAGGGAAAAACUCUUUUGGCACUCUCACCGAAAAAUCUUGAGUUCUUACCUUUUUUUUGGGUACAGCAUCAGGUUAUUUCCCUGUUCUUCAAAGCACCUGCGGGUUGUUGGCACAGAAGAGAAUGUAAACAUUGGGUCCCACUUGCUGGAGCACUGAUUCGGAGGAGAUUCUGCUUUGAAGUGAGAACUGAAAGUCCAAGAGUAGAAAUGCUUCCCUAGAGAUUGAGUGCCCCGUAAAGAGGCAAGGUUUGCCGGCUUGACUUCUACUAGAGGAGGACAAAGAAAGUCUGAAGGAGAAGAGUCAGUACAAGCCAGAGUCAAAGAAGCCAAAGAAGAAAAAGUCUAGAAAUUGCAGUGUACGUAUUAAUAGCAUAAAGGAUAUUUCUCGUUUGGUUAAUUUUUUAAUGGAGUUUUAUUUUAUUUAGUCUUGGUGUCAUCCUCAUUGUGUUUCACCUAUACUAUUGCUAUUUUUAGUCAAAUAAGUACACUUUUCCUAAAUAAUAUUGUCACUUAGACACAGCAGUACUGUAUCACAUUACCUACACACAGCACAAAGUUGCCGCUUUGUAGAGCCAGAAUAUUGUGCUCAGUUCCGUCCUUAUGAAAAAGGGGGAGAUGCCGAAAGACUGUUGCCAGAAAUAUUCCACAUAUGAGGAGGUUCCUUAAAGGUGAAGGAAUAGAAAGUAUUUAACCUGCUCAGAUGAAAGCAAAGGAUAUUUGCUGCAUACCAAAAACAUUUUUCUGAACUAGUCAAAUUAUUUCAUUUUAAACACAAAAUCAUCAUAUAUCCAGGGUUAGGGUGAUACAUAAUUGAAUAUUAAGAUGGCUGAGAGGAACCAAGGGUGGGGAGGAAGGAAGGGAAGGACUUUCACCAGCAUCUAAUACAGGGCUUGACAUAUGGUUGGUGCUGAAUUAAUGGAUU
RNAcentral lists this transfer RNA (1370 nucleotides) under Ursus thibetanus thibetanus. RNAcentral's name for it is "lncRNA (ENSUTTG00000008993.1)". The stretch from base 384 to 455 matches the Rfam family "tRNA". The record is from RNAcentral. Lineage: Eukaryota; Metazoa; Chordata; Mammalia; Carnivora; Ursidae.